GGGUAACUAGUCCAAACAAGACAGCUGAUUUCGGCUCAACAAAUUGUGGUUCAAACCCACAGUCACCCU
RNAcentral lists this transfer RNA (69 nucleotides) under Bombina orientalis. RNAcentral describes it as "tRNA-Arg". It matches the Rfam family "tRNA". From Rfam's summary of the family: Transfer RNA (tRNA) molecules are approximately 80 nucleotides in length. Their secondary structure includes four short double-helical elements and three loops (D, anti-codon, and T loops). Lineage: Eukaryota; Metazoa; Chordata; Amphibia; Anura; Bombinatoridae. The record is from RNAcentral.